CAGUCGCCGCGGGAAUACGUAGGUGGCGAGCGUUGUCCGGAUUUAUUGGGCGUAAAGGGAGUGUAGGCGGUCUUUUAAGUCUGAUGUGAAAGCCCACGGCUCAACCGUGGAGGGUCAUUGGAAACUGGGAGACUUGAGUGCAGAAGAGGAGAGCGGAAUUCCGUGUGUAGCGGUGAAAUGCGUAGAUAUAUGGAGGAACACCAGUGGCGAAGGCGGCUCUCUGGGCCUGCACUGACGCUUAUGCACGAAAGCGUGGGGAGCAAACAGGAUUAGAUACCCCGGUAGUCCCUGUCUCUUAUAC
This 301-nucleotide ribosomal RNA is filed under the name uncultured bacterium. RNAcentral's name for it is "partial 16S ribosomal RNA". It matches the Rfam family "Bacterial small subunit ribosomal RNA", at positions 509 to 807 of the family's 1533-position model. The record is from RNAcentral.